This 81-nucleotide transfer RNA is filed under the name Stegodyphus dumicola. RNAcentral describes it as "tRNA-Ser". It matches the Rfam family "tRNA". Rfam says of the family: Transfer RNA (tRNA) molecules are approximately 80 nucleotides in length. The record is from RNAcentral. Lineage: Eukaryota; Metazoa; Arthropoda; Arachnida; Araneae; Eresidae.
GCGGUCGUGGCCGAGUGGUUAAGGCAAUGGGCUUGAUAUCCAUUGGGGUUCCCCGCGUAGGUUCGAAUCCUACCGGCUGCG